GAGUGAACGCUGGCGGUCGGCCUAACACAUGCAAGUCGAACGGCAGCACAGUAAGAGCUUGCUCUUACGGGUGGCGAGUGGCGGACGGGUGAGGAAUACAUCGGAAUCUACUUUUUCGUGGGGGAUAACGUAGGGAAACUUACGCUAAUACCGCAUACGACCUACGGGUGAAAGCAGGGGAUCUUCGGACCUUGCGCGAUUGAAUGAGCCGAUGUCGGAUUAGCUAGUUGGCGGGGUAAAGGCCCACCAAGGCGACGAUCCGUAGCUGGUCUGAGAGGAUGAUCAGCCACACUGGAACUGAGACACGGUCCAGACUCCUACGGGAGGCAGCAGUGGGGAAUAUUGGACAAUGGGCGCAAGCCUGAUCCAGCCAUACCGCGUGGGUGAAGAAGGCCUUCGGGUUGUAAAGCCCUUUUGUUGGGAAAGAAAAGCAGCAGGUUAAUACCCCGCUGUUCUGACGGUACCCAAAGAAUAAGCACCGGCUAACUUCGUG
RNAcentral lists this ribosomal RNA (493 nucleotides) under uncultured bacterium. RNAcentral's name for it is "partial 16S ribosomal RNA". It matches the Rfam family "Bacterial small subunit ribosomal RNA", at positions 27 to 507 of the family's 1533-position model. The record is from RNAcentral.